This 67-nucleotide transfer RNA is filed under the name Pseudadimonia sp. BMNH 846586. RNAcentral's name for it is "tRNA-Arg". The record is from RNAcentral. Lineage: Eukaryota; Metazoa; Arthropoda; Insecta; Coleoptera; Chrysomelidae.
AAAUAAGAAGCAAUUACUGCAUUUUAGUUUCGACCUAAAAAAUUUGAUUUUAUUUAAUCCUUAUUUU